AAGGAGCACCACGAUAAACACUCUCAAUUGGUGGGGGUGUAGCCGUGAGGAGCCUGGUCGCUGUAGUGGCGCCGGCUUGGUGCACAACAAACGUUGAGCCGCAAGGGAUUUUGCGGUGAUGGGACCGCCAGACACACUAUUGGGCUUUGAGACAACAGGCCCGUGCCCCUUUUGGGGGGGUGGCAUCCGGUUGCGGGUGUCGGCGUGUUGUUGCCUCACUUUGGUGGUGGGGUGUGGUGUUUGAUUUGUGGAUAGUGGUUGCGAGCAUCUAGCACGCAAGGGUGUGGCGCCGGCCUUCGGGUGGGUGUCGCUUUUUUGUGUGUUGAUGUGCAAUUUCUUUUGAAACUCAUUUUUGGUUUUUGUG
RNAcentral lists this unclassified non-coding RNA (364 nucleotides) under Mycolicibacterium fortuitum. RNAcentral's name for it is "partial 16S-23S ribosomal RNA intergenic spacer". Lineage: Bacteria; Bacillati; Actinomycetota; Actinomycetes; Mycobacteriales; Mycobacteriaceae. The record is from RNAcentral.